UACGUAGGGUGCGAGCGUUAUUCGGAAUUACUGGGCGUAAAGCGUGCGCAGGCGGUUUUGUAAGUCAGAUGUGAAAUCCCCGGGCUUAACCUGGGAAUGGCAUUUGGGACUGCAAGGCUGGAGUUUGGCAGAGGAGACUGGAAUUCCUGGUGUAGCAGUGAAAUGCGUAGAUAUCAGGAGGAACACCAGAGGCGAAGGCGACUUCCUGGACAAUUGCUGACGCUCAGGCACGAAAGCAUGGGGAGCAAAAGGG
RNAcentral lists this ribosomal RNA (253 nucleotides) under uncultured bacterium. Its description in RNAcentral is "partial 16S ribosomal RNA". It matches the Rfam family "Bacterial small subunit ribosomal RNA", at positions 524 to 776 of the family's 1533-position model. The record is from RNAcentral.